Molecule: ribosomal RNA, 253 nt
Filed under: uncultured bacterium
Lineage: Bacteria
Description: partial 16S ribosomal RNA
Rfam family: Bacterial small subunit ribosomal RNA
Source: RNAcentral
UACGGAGGGUGCGAGCGUUGUCCGGAAUCACUGGGCUUAAAGCGUGUGUAGGCGGAUUGGUAAGUACUUUGUGAAAUCCCACGGCUUAACCGUGGAACUGCUUGGUAUACUGCCAGUCUUGAGCCAGCUAGGGGCUACCGGAACAAAUGGUGGAGCGGUGAAAUGCGUAGAUAUCAUUUGGAACGCCAAAGGUGAAAACAGGUAGCUGGGGCUGUGCUGACGCUGAGACACGAAAGCCAGGGGAGCAAACGGG